GAUGAACGCUGGCGGCGUGCUUAACACAUGCAAGUCGAACGAAGCACUUUAUUUGAUUUCCUUCGGGACUGAUUAUUUUGUGACUGAGUGGCGGACGGGUGAGUAACGCGUGGGUAACCUGCCUUGUACAGGGGGAUAACAGUUGGAAACGGCUGCUAAUACCGCAUAAGCGCACAGCAUCGCAUGAUGCAGUGUGAAAAACUCCGGUGGUAUAAGAUGGACCCGCGUUGGAUUAGCUAGUUGGUGAGGUAACGGCCCACCAAGGCGACGAUCCAUAGCCGACCGGAGAGGGUGACCGGCCACAGUGGGACUGAGACACGGCCCAAACUCCUACGGGAGGCAGCAGUGGGGAAUAUUGCACAAUGGGCGAAAGCCUGAUGCAGCGACGCCGCGUGAGCGAAGAAGUAUUUCGGUAUGUAAAGCUCUAUCAGCAGGGAAGAUAAUGACGGUACCUGACUAAGAAGCACCGGCUAAAUACGUG
This 481-nucleotide ribosomal RNA is filed under the name uncultured bacterium. RNAcentral's name for it is "partial 16S ribosomal RNA". It matches the Rfam family "Bacterial small subunit ribosomal RNA", at positions 28 to 507 of the family's 1533-position model. The record is from RNAcentral.